This is a long non-coding RNA of Lagopus leucura (white-tailed ptarmigan), 419 nucleotides long. RefSeq lists it as uncharacterized. The record is from RefSeq and is a predicted model, not a curated record. NCBI's taxonomy places the organism in Eukaryota, Metazoa, Chordata, Aves, Galliformes, Phasianidae. The transcript is spliced from 3 exons.
GCUCGGACCUCGGUGGGCAGCGGCGCUGAAGGCACGGCGCUCGCCCGGCGAAGCCGCGCAGCAGAACAGCAUCAGUAGGCGCGCAGGCCUGUCUAAUCAGGGCGCUGGUUCUGCGAUCAGCCAGCAGCACCCGCCUGAAGCCUCGGCCCAGGCUGCUUUGGCGCACAAUGGAAAGAGCACAAAUUAUACCGCACGAUUUCUCAAGGAAGGUUACACGGCACUGUGAUCAAAUAGCUUCUUCCUAAGUGCACAUUUUCACUUUAAUAAACCCAUCUAACAUUCCUGGUAAUGGAGCCUUCACAUCGUACAGAGUCAGAAAGGCAGAAAAGGCUCUGGAAGAUUGACUAGCCUAAGGGGUUGUUGAGGAGCAAGCUCAUCUCUGUGACACAGGUGAUGAGAUCAAGUGCACCCUCAGCAAG